GGUUGAUCGAUGGUAUUGAACGAGGUUUUGGUCUUAAAAUCGUUCAUUAUACUCUGUAACAACAUUUUGUACCAUGAAACCAGAUAGUUUCCGGAAAUUGUUUUUUUCGAUAUUCGCGGUUUGUUUUAUCAUGAAUUCGUUCCAACGGGACAGAUGGUCAAUAAAGAGUUUUAUUUGAACGUUUUUAAGCGUUUUCUCGAAAAUAUUCGUAGUAAACGGCCGGAAUUGUGGGCCAACAAACUUUCUGGUCAUAAUGUAUAUACAUAUGUACGGUCAAGAACUGUUAGCUCGGCAGUAUUCUAAAACACUAUCAGACGAAGAAUGCAAAAUUUAUUCGCUCAAUUCGAUAGAUAAUCAAAGGAUUUCUAAGUAUGGACACCCAAAGAUCAUAUUAGUUAUCCAAAAGUCGAUGCCUGUUUUCGACAAAAGUUAUUGUUCAACAAGAACCGUAAGAUAACCGACUUUCUAUCAUUGAUAUGGACCUACUUCUCCAGCAACAAUAGAAAGUUAUUUUGCACUUCAAACCAAACUGAUGAAGUGUUUUGAUUCCAAAUUAAGGGCCUCAUUUACUGCAUGUAUUAACGCUACUUUACUUACUGAAGUACCCUUUAUUUCAAUCAGUACAAUGAAUAUGUGUAGCGGAUCGUCUACCUUCCCAUGCAAAACUCAAACCAAACUAAUAACGAGUAUUUAAAUUUUUAUUUAGUUUGUUUUCGUCUAUCUAUUUACAAAUAUAAUAAAUGUUCAACGAAUAAUCAACUUGCUUGCCAUACUCAACUUUAAAGUUUAAAACACAACUUGUAAAUUACUGCUGCUGAGCUGUACCCUGUUGGCUCCGAUGUAGCUAACCCCUUUUUGUAUUUCCAAGUUUACCUGUAAUUGAGGAUACCUUUCAAAUAAAUACAAUCAGAAUCAUAAGCACGGGACCUUUGUGAGAUCGAGUUUACGAGUACUGUCAAAAUCAAAAUCGAACUCGUAGUUUUGUAUUAACAAUGUGAACCUGAGCGACUUCGGGGAUUUCAUCCAAUCGAUCCGUGAUAAAGUUCUUGUUUUUGGAAUGCAAAUCGUGCAGUGGAAUCAAAGGGGCCUUGGAUGCUUUAUAAGGGGACUCUUGUCCUUAGAUGGCGACCGUCAGAUAUAUGUAUUGGUUUAAUUAGUUGCACACAUCACUUCCACGCGCGUUUCCUUGGAAACGGCUACCACGGAGGACACGUGACAAAAAUUCAAAACCUCGAUUGAAAGACGGCCGAAUGAAGAUGUGCCAGAUAACUAACGCAUUGUGUGGGCAUCACAAAAGAUGGCUUGGGUUAUACCUGGCAUCAAAUAUUGGGUUUGAGAAAGAUGUCGGCACAACGGAUGUCGCUUUUGCUUAGUACGGAUAACAAACGCAAUCGUGGCACCCCUUUAUUGCAAUGUUUGACGCUAUUUAAGUGCAUUCCAAAAGAGUUUCUACGUCUUCUUCAUAACCAUCGCCGACAUGGAUUUUUUGGAAAACGUUUUUUUUUUAGAAGGGUUACACAAGUUGGAGUAUUGCUUGGUCAA
Bactrocera oleae (olive fruit fly) is the source of this 1542-nucleotide non-coding RNA. The record is from RefSeq and is a predicted model, not a curated record. NCBI's taxonomy places the organism in Eukaryota, Metazoa, Arthropoda, Insecta, Diptera, Tephritidae.